GAGUUUGAUCGUGGCUCAGGACGAACGCUGGCGGCGUGCUUAAUACAUGCAAGUCAACGAGAAACAGGGUGCUUGCAUCCUGUGGACAGUGGCGCACGGGUGCGUAACACGUAGGUAAUCUGCCCUUAGGACUGACAUAACUCCGGGAAACCGAAGCUAAUAUCAGAUAAUGCAGCGGCUCGGCAUCGAGACAGUUGUUAAAUCUUCGGAGCCUAAGGAUGAACCUGCGUCCCAUUAGGUAGUUGGUGAGGUAAAUGCUCACCAAGCCUGCGAUGGGUAGCUGGUCUGAGAGGAUGAUCAGCCACACUGGAACUGAGACACGGUCCAGACUCCUACGGGAGGCAGCAGUAAGGAAUAUUGCUCAAUGGGAGAAAUCCUGAAGCAGCAACGCCGCGUGGAGGAUGAAGGCAUAUUUGUU
Molecule: ribosomal RNA, 418 nt
Filed under: uncultured Campylobacterota bacterium
Lineage: Bacteria; Pseudomonadati; Campylobacterota
Description: bacterial SSU rRNA
Rfam family: Bacterial small subunit ribosomal RNA
Source: RNAcentral